AGCCUCAGUCAAAAUCCAU
This 19-nucleotide small nuclear RNA is filed under the name Arabidopsis thaliana (thale cress). RNAcentral's name for it is "snRNA_10328". Lineage: Eukaryota; Viridiplantae; Streptophyta; Magnoliopsida; Brassicales; Brassicaceae. The record is from RNAcentral.